This 343-nucleotide unclassified non-coding RNA is filed under the name soil metagenome. RNAcentral's name for it is "partial contains 5.8S ribosomal RNA, internal transcribed spacer 2, and large subunit ribosomal RNA". The stretch from base 1 to 120 matches the Rfam family "5.8S ribosomal RNA", at positions 35 to 154 of the family's 154-position model. The record is from RNAcentral.
GAUGAAGAACGUAGCGAAAUGCGAUAAGUAAUGUGAAUUGCAGAAUUCAGUGAAUCAUCGAAUCUUUGAACGCACAUUGCGCCCGCCAGCAUUCUGGCGGGCAUGCCUGUUCGAGCGUCAUUUCAACCCUCGAGCCCCCCCGGGGGCCUCGGUGUUGGGGGACGGCACACCAGCCGCCCCCGAAAUGCAGUGGCGACCUCGCCGCAGCCUCCCCUGCGUAGUAGCACACACCUCGCACCGGAGCGCGGAGGCGGUCACGCCGUAAAACGCCCAACUUUCUUAGAGUUGACCUCGGAUCAGGUAGGAAUACCCGCUGAACUUAAGCAUAUCAAUAAGCGGAGGA